AAUAGAAUGCCUGAAAAAAGGGUUAUUUUGAUAGAAUAAAUCAUACAAUUUAAAUUGUUUCUAUUU
Molecule: transfer RNA, 66 nt
Filed under: Ips calligraphus
Lineage: Eukaryota; Metazoa; Arthropoda; Insecta; Coleoptera; Curculionidae
Description: tRNA-Ile
Source: RNAcentral